This 465-nucleotide ribosomal RNA is filed under the name uncultured Propionivibrio sp. RNAcentral's name for it is "bacterial SSU rRNA". It matches the Rfam family "Bacterial small subunit ribosomal RNA", at positions 338 to 795 of the family's 1533-position model. Lineage: Bacteria; Pseudomonadati; Pseudomonadota; Betaproteobacteria; Rhodocyclales; Rhodocyclaceae. The record is from RNAcentral.
CCUACGGGAGGCUGCAGUGGGGAAUUUUGGACAAUGGGCGCAAGCCUGAUCCAGCCAUGCCGCGUGAGUGAAGAAGGCCUUCGGGUUGUAAAGCUCUUUCGGUGGGGAAGAAAUUGCUUGGGUUAAUACCCUGAGUAGAUGACGGUACCCGCAUAAGAAGCACCGGCUAACUACGUGCCAGCAGCCGCGGUAAUACGUAGGGUGCGAGCGUUAAUCGGAAUUACUGGGCGUAAAGCGUGCGCAGGCGGUUUUGUAAGUCAGAUGUGAAAUCCCCGGGCUCAACCUGGGAACUGCAUUUGAGACUGCAAGGCUAGAGUGUGGCAGAGGGGGGUAGAAUUCCACGUGUAGCAGUGAAAUGCGUAGAGAUGUGGAGGAAUACCGAUGGCGAAGGCAGCCCCCUGGGUCACUACUGACGCUCAUGCACGAAAGCGUGGGGAGCAAACAGGAUUAGAUACCCUUGUAGUC